This 292-nucleotide ribosomal RNA is filed under the name uncultured bacterium. RNAcentral describes it as "partial 16S ribosomal RNA". The record is from RNAcentral.
GGACUACAAGGGUUUCUAAUCCUGUUUGAUCCCCUUGCUUUCGCGCAUUAGCGUCAGGUCUAAGCUAGAAAACCGCCUUCGCCACCGGUGUUCUUCCACAUAUCUACGCAUUUCACCGCUACUUGUGGAAUUCCGUUUUCUCCGCCUAUCCUCUAGAAUGAUAGUUUCAAAUGCUGUUCCGAGGUUGAGCCCCGGGAUUUCACAUCUGACUUAUCUUUCCGCCUACGCGCCCUUUACGCCCAAUAAAUCCGAUUAAUGCUUGCACCCUCCGUAUUACCGCGGCUGCUGGCAC